Molecule: long non-coding RNA, 1645 nt
Organism: Antechinus flavipes (yellow-footed antechinus)
Lineage: Eukaryota; Metazoa; Chordata; Mammalia; Dasyuromorphia; Dasyuridae
Exons: 3
Source: RefSeq, a predicted model, not a curated record
AUUUGUGACCUACAAGUGUGUGGUUUAGUCCCUGUGCUUCCCACCUCUUUGGUAUGGAUUUGGUACCAUUCUAAGGUUCACAUCAACUUGUAAACAUUUUAUUUAGUCAUAGAUUCAAAGCCCUAAGGGAUCUUCAAAGUCAUCUAGACCAAGCCUGUCAAACCAUGGCCCAGAGAAAUGAAGCAACUUGGAGAAGAUCAUACAGUUGGUAGCUGGAACCUAAAAGGAAGCUGAAAUAGCAGUAGAUUUGAAAUUAGAUGAUCUGGGUUCCAGAUUCAGAUGAAACUUUUAUUGGGAUGUUGGGAGAUUUUACUCAAGACAGAGCAACAGUUCAACAGACACAAAAGAGGCCCGUAAAAAAAAAAAAAAAAGUCUGCUACAUUACUCAGCCUGGGCCCGGGCUUGGAGCUGGAGUUCACUCCUUGGCUUUCAUUUACUUGAUGGUGGGAUGGGGAAAGGAGACAAUUUCCCCUGUUAGAAAUUCUGCGGCAGCCUCUCCUCUCUUGGGUUUCGGUAUUUAUUUUAAGGGAUGAAUUAUGUAUGGGUAUAAAUUGUGUUUGACACAUCCCAAUGUGGAAAAAAAAAUUGAGUUUUUCCUUGCUAUGAAAAACAUUCUCCAGAACAUAUCACACUCAGAAUGAGUCCAAAAAAAAAUUAAAAAACUUAAAACCAACAACCCCCCACAUAUGGAUGUUGCUGCUUAGUUUUAUGAAAUUAAAGGGACACUGUCUGAAACUUCAGGAAGGUUGGCAAUGAUUAGUGAGGGAAUGAACUCAUAUUUUAAAAUGUUGGCUGAUAGGAUCGCCAAGUGGAGCUGAAGUCCAAAGAAAGAAGAAUCAAAAUUGAACUAGACAUAAGAUAAGCACCUUGGUGUUAUAAACUAGUUAUAUGAUAUCAUCAUAGAAUGUUAGAAGUGGACAGGACACUAGAGCAGAGAAUAUUAGCAAGCAGGAUGUUAGAACAUAGGGUAGUAUAGCUAAAAUGUUCCUUAGGACUUGGAAUGUUAGAACUAGAAGGGAUCUUAAGUUAUAAUAUGUAAGGAAUAAAGCAUGCUAGGAGCUGAGAGGAAUCUUAAAGAUCUAUUCUAAUCAAACAUUUUUAAAGUAAAGAGAGCCCCAGAGAGGUCAGCUUAGCCAUGGCCACCCAACUAAGUAAUGGUGAAGUUGUGAUUAGAAUCCAGGUCAAACCUCCUUCUUCCCAGGCCAAGGUUAGUUCAAAUGUGCCAUACUACAUCAUUUCCCCUGGCAAAUGCUAAAGCUUACUGGAAACUUUAAUUUAGCUCAAUGUGUCCUUGGGGAAUGUAUUGAGGGGCACCAGUGGCUUAAAAGGUGGUCAUUGUGACCCCUGAUUUGUGGGGAUGAUGUAUUUUGCAAACUCUAGGGUCAAAUUGUUCCAACAGCUUAGCAUGCUCCAUAAGUUGUCAGCAGGUUGGCAGACACUCCAAUUCCCAAAGAGAGUGAAUUCAUUUUAAAGUUGGAGAGCAUGGGAAAUGAGAGAGUUUUUCAUUCUAAAAAUUAAUUUGGGGAAAUUGGCUUCAAUUGAGUUGGGCUUAUUUUUUUUUAUUUUGGUUUUAAAAAAUAAAUAUGUGGCAACACCCAUCAUAUGUUUUUCUGGCUCUUCAGUUGGGCAAUAGCAUAGAAAUAAA